GAUGAACGCUGGCGGCGUGCCUAAUACAUGCAAGUCGAGCGAACGGACGAGAAGCUUGCUUCUCUGAUGUUAGCGGCGGACGGGUGAGUAACACGUGGAUAACCUACCUAUAAGACUGGGAUAACUUCGGGAAACCGUAGCUAAUACCGGAUAAUCUUUUGAACCGCAUGGUUCAAAAGUGAAAGACGGUCUUGCUGUCACUUAUAGCUGGAUCCGCGCUGCAUUAGCUAGUUGGUAAGGUAACGGCUUACCAAGGCAACGAUGCAUAGCCGACCUGAGAGGGGGAUCGGCCACACGGGAACUGAGACACGGUCCAGACUCCUACGGGAGGCAGCAGUAGGGAAUCUUCCGCAAUGGGCGAAAGCCUGACGGAGCAACGGCGCGUGAGUGAUGAAGGUCUUCGGAUCGUAAAACUCUGUUAUUAGGGAAGAACAUAUGUGUAAGUAACUGUGCACAUCUUGACGGUACCUAAUCAGAAAGCCACGGCUAACUACGUG
This 497-nucleotide ribosomal RNA is filed under the name uncultured bacterium. RNAcentral describes it as "partial 16S ribosomal RNA". It matches the Rfam family "Bacterial small subunit ribosomal RNA", at positions 28 to 507 of the family's 1533-position model. The record is from RNAcentral.